AUUGAACGCUGGCGGCAUGCCUUACACAUGCAAAUCGAACGGUAACGGGCCUUCGGGUGCCGACGAGUGGCGAACGGGUGAGUAAUACAUCGGAACGUGCCCGAUCGUGGGGGAUAACGAGGCGAAAGCUUUGCUAAUACCGCAUACGAUCUACGGAUGAAAGCCGGGGACCGCAAGGCCUUGCGCGGACGGAGCGGCCGAUGGCAGAUUAGGUAGUUGGUGGGAUAAAAGCUUACCAAGCCGACGAUCUGUAGCUGGUCUGAGAGGAUGAUCAGCCACACUGGAACUGAGACACGGCCCAGACUCCUACGGGAGGCAGCAGUGGGGAAUUUUGGACAAUGGGCGCAAGCCUGAUCCAGCCAUGCCGCGUGCAGGAUGAAGGCCUUCGGGUUGUAAACUGAUUUUGUACGGAACGAAAAGCCUUCUUUUAAUACAGGAGGGUCAUGACGGUACCGUAAGAAUAAGCACCGGCUAACUACGUG
This 482-nucleotide ribosomal RNA is filed under the name uncultured bacterium. RNAcentral's name for it is "partial 16S ribosomal RNA". It matches the Rfam family "Bacterial small subunit ribosomal RNA", at positions 30 to 507 of the family's 1533-position model. The record is from RNAcentral.